Molecule: ribosomal RNA, 253 nt
Filed under: uncultured bacterium
Lineage: Bacteria
Description: partial 16S ribosomal RNA
Rfam family: Bacterial small subunit ribosomal RNA
Source: RNAcentral
UACGUAGGGACCAAGCGUUGUUCGGAUUUACUGGGCGUAAAGGGCGCGUAGGCGGCGCGGUAAGUCACUUGUGAAAUCUCUGAGCUUAACUCAGAACGGCCAAGUGAUACUGCAGUGCUAGAGUGCAGAAAGGGCAAUCGGAAUUCUUGGUGUAGCGGUGAAAUGCGUAGAUAUCAAGAGGAACACCUGAGGCGAAGGCGGGUUGCUAGGCUGACACUGACGCUGAGUGCGCGAAAGCCAGGGGAGCAAACGG